Cephalotus follicularis is the source of this 86-nucleotide small nucleolar RNA. It matches the Rfam family "Small nucleolar RNA snoR27". Lineage: Eukaryota; Viridiplantae; Streptophyta; Magnoliopsida; Oxalidales; Cephalotaceae. The record is from Rfam.
AAUGGAUCUAUGUUGUUAUUGAUAUAUAUGUGUUAUCUAUCUGCAACUUCCUAAAAGGAAUUGAAAAACACAUACGGAGAUCUAAU